CAAUAGCGUAUAUUAAAGUUGUUGCGGUUAAAAAGCUCGUAGUUGGAUUUCUGUCGAAGACGGUCGGUCCGCUCUAUGAGCGUGUAUCUGAUUCGGCUUUGGCAUCCUCGUGGGGAACGUAACUGUGCUUGAUUGCAUGGUGCGGAAUUCACGACUUUUACUUUGAGGAAAUUAGAGUGUUCACGGCAGGCAAGCGCCUUGAAUACAUUAGCAUGGAAUAAUAAUAUAGGACUUUGGUUCUAUUUUGUUGGUUUCUAGGACUAAAGUAAUGAUUAAUAGGGACGAGUUGGGGGCGAUUCAUAUUCCAAUGUCAGAGGUGAAAUUACUUGGAUUAUCGGAAGAUGAACUUCUGCGAAAGCAUCUGCCAAGGAUGUUUUCAUUGAUCAAGAACGAAAGUUAGGGAUCGAAGACGAUCAGAUACCGU
This 424-nucleotide ribosomal RNA is filed under the name uncultured eukaryote. RNAcentral's name for it is "bacterial SSU rRNA". It matches the Rfam family "Eukaryotic small subunit ribosomal RNA", at positions 592 to 1018 of the family's 1831-position model. The record is from RNAcentral.